UACGUAGGUGGCAAGCGUUGUCCGGAUUUAUUGGGUUUAAAGGGUGCGUAGGCGGUCCUAUAAGUCAGUGCUGAAAUAUCCCGGCUUAACCGGGAGGGUGGCAUUGAUACUGUAGGACUUGAGUAAAGUUGAGGUUGGCGGAAUUGACGGUGUAGCGGUGAAAUGCUUAGAUAUCAGGAGGAAUACCGAUGGCGAAGGCAGGUCUCUGGGCUGACACUGACGCUCAUGCACGAAAGCGUGGGGAGCAAACAGG
This 253-nucleotide ribosomal RNA is filed under the name uncultured bacterium. Its description in RNAcentral is "partial 16S ribosomal RNA". It matches the Rfam family "Bacterial small subunit ribosomal RNA", at positions 524 to 776 of the family's 1533-position model. The record is from RNAcentral.